CGGUUUUCGAGAGAAAUUAAAUCGGAAGCACGGUGAAAAUCCGUCACAACCGCCAUUACCGUAAUUGAGUUUUGGAGUGCAUUUGCCAUUGCGAAAGUGAGAAGGCGCAUUUCAUUUAUAUCUUAAGUCGGGACACCCGCCGCGAGAGCUA
This 151-nucleotide non-coding RNA is filed under the name human gut metagenome. The record is from RNAcentral.